RNAcentral lists this ribosomal RNA (465 nucleotides) under Vreelandella stevensii. RNAcentral's name for it is "partial 16S ribosomal RNA". It matches the Rfam family "Bacterial small subunit ribosomal RNA", at positions 338 to 795 of the family's 1533-position model. Lineage: Bacteria; Pseudomonadati; Pseudomonadota; Gammaproteobacteria; Oceanospirillales; Halomonadaceae. The record is from RNAcentral.
CCUACGGGCAGCAGCAGUGGGGAAUAUUGGACAAUGGGGGGAACCCUGAUCCAGCCAUGCCGCGUGUGUGAAGAAGGCCCUCGGGUUGUAAAGCACUUUCAGUGAGGAAGAACGCCUGGUGGUUAAUACCCAUCAGGAAAGACAUCACUCACAGAAGAAGCACCGGCUAACUCCGUGCCAGCAGCCGCGGUAAUACGGAGGGUGCGAGCGUUAAUCGGAAUUACUGGGCGUAAAGCGCGCGUAGGUGGCUUGAUAAGCCGGUUGUGAAAGCCCCGGGCUCAACCUGGGAACGGCAUCCGGAACUGUCAAGCUAGAGUGCAGGAGAGGAAGGUAGAAUUCCCGGUGUAGCGGUGAAAUGCGUAGAGAUCGGGAGGAAUACCAGUGGCGAAGGCGGCCUUCUGGACUGACACUGACACUGAGGUGCGAAAGCGUGGGUAGCAAACAGGAUUAGAUACCCGAGUAGUC